This 546-nucleotide ribosomal RNA is filed under the name Thelephora sp. MAS-2011. RNAcentral describes it as "eukaryotic LSU rRNA". The stretch from base 216 to 370 matches the Rfam family "5.8S ribosomal RNA". The record is from RNAcentral. Lineage: Eukaryota; Fungi; Basidiomycota; Agaricomycetes; Thelephorales; Thelephoraceae.
UGCGGAGGAUCAUUACCGAACCGUCGACACGAGUUGUUGCUGGCCUCUGACCGGAGGCACGUGCACGCUCUGUUUACACAUCCACUCACACCUGUGCACCCUCUAUAGUCCCGUGGCCUGGGUGACUCCGUCCCCUCGCCGUGGUUCUGUAUCUUUACAAACACGCUGUAGUUAAGUCUCGUGGAAUGCACGCCGCGUUUAACGCAACGCAAUACAACUUUCAGCAACGGAUCUCUUGGCUCUCGCAUCGAUGAAGAACGCAGCGAAAUGCGAUAAGUAAUGUGAAUUGCAGAAUUCAGUGAAUCAUCGAAUCUUUGAACGCACCUUGCGCCCUCUGGCUAUUCCGGAGGGCAUGCCUGUUUGAGUAUCAUGAACACCUCAACUCUCGUGGCUUGCUGCGAUGAGCUUGGACUUUGGGGGUCUUGCCGGCCUGCGGUCGGCUCCUCUCAAAUCGAUCAGCUUUCCAGUGUUUGGUGGCGUCACGGGUGUGAUAACCGUCUAUGCUCGUGGUGUUUCCGCCAGGUGUCCUCCAGUGAUGGGGACCUC